This is a long non-coding RNA of Cygnus atratus (black swan), 3369 nucleotides long. RefSeq lists it as uncharacterized. The transcript is spliced from 4 exons. NCBI's taxonomy places the organism in Eukaryota, Metazoa, Chordata, Aves, Anseriformes, Anatidae. The record is from RefSeq and is a predicted model, not a curated record.
CUGGCAGACGCACCUGAAAGGAAGCCGACAAAUCUGCGGGAAGAAAGGGGAGGCCAUUAGAAAUGACAAGAAGCGAAAAGCUGGUGCAGAAAAGUGAGGAUGACUGCUGGCAGGCAAGUGAUCUCCACGAUGCAGUCCAGUUCUCCAGCUAAUGGGUGAUGCUAGAGUAGAACUGGCCAAAGCACAAUGGCUGUUCGAGAUCCUGGGGCACACAGAUCCCUGAGCUAUGACCGCUGUCAAACAUAAAAGCUAAGGAAUUUUGUAUCUGGCGCUGCCAGGAGGUUGCCAUACAUUUCAUCUUCUGGCUCUCCAUCAGGGUAGCUGGAAAGAACAAAGUGCCUGGGGCUUCUCCGUGUCUGGGACAUCAUACUCUGCAACAAGACCAGAGUCAGUCCAGCAGCGUCUGGUAGCGCAAGGUCUUCUCAUUUUAGAUGGAUGUGGUUCAGAGUACGCGUUCACCCCUUUUGGGUCUGCAGUCAGAACGCGAGCGUUGCUGAGGUAAGAACUAUUUUGAGAGCGGUCAAAGGAAAGUUUCAGUGAACCAACAGAUGUACAGCGAUUCAAACGUGUGGCCUCCUCACAAUGGGUCAAAACAGCCUAGAAAUUGGAAAAUCUAGAUAAACAUUGCUAGCAUAGCUAAGUAUAGCUUCCCAGUAGUUUCACUUAGUAUGAGAUGCUUUCCUAGGCUGUUGGCAAUGACCUCCUACCAUUGCAUUGCUCCAGCUGACCAGAAGGUGAUUCAAAACCACUAGCCAGGAUCUAGCACAUAGGCACAUCAUAAGACAUGGGCCUGUUCUAGCAAAAUAAAUGACAAAACUCCCAGGGUUUCAGCCCAAGUUGUGCAUCUCUAGUAUUUCCAAUACCUUGAUAAGUCUUUCCUUAAAGCACCAAAGAGGCUGACUUAACCCACAGCAGAUCUCAGAGCAGAGCUAAUGUUUCUGUAGCUUUUGCAAAUGUUUUUAUUUGACUUAUCAAGCCCAACGACAUCAGAGCUGUGCACCAGGGCUAUUUAAAACUACACACACACCCUCAGGCAGCCAGCACUCCUCCUGCCCCAGGGAUGUUUGCUUCUGCAGCAUUGCAGAGGGAGGCUCUGUUCUGCCUUUACAGUGCCUGAUGAUUGACUGUGAUGACAGUCCUCUGGAUGUGCAUUGGUUUUAUCUGGCAUGGCUUUGGCCUGCUGCUUUAUCUCUCUACUCCCCAGCUACAUCAUUACUGAGCUGAUUCUUUUUGCUGCCGAUCUUGGAAAACAAUGAAUGGGAUUUCCCCCAGACUGGAUUCUUUUGUCCUUUUAAGCACAUGCUGCAGAAUAAAACCUAUGUAAAGUAUUCUAAGAGAUGGAGCUAAGCCAAGUAAAAGGUGUCUGUGGUAAAGCUGCUCAUAGUGGAUUUGUUUGCCCUCUUAAUGCAAUACCAUAAACUCUUUCUUCAAGAUUUAUGUCUGGGACAAGAUUGGGGCCUUUGUGCACUGAGAAACUCCUGAUCUUCUUUCAAUAUUUAGAAGACAUUAUUACAUUUUCCAUAAAGCACUUAUCAUCAAUUACAGUAUAUAUAUUACUGCAUAAGUAAAUGCACUUCCAUGAACUAGCAGAAACUUCGUACCAACUAAAUAAAAAGUUAGUUAGUACCAAGUUCCAACUUAGUUCUACAAAAGCAAAGACUCUGCUUAGUGACACUUAAUGUGACUGGGGAGAAAAUUCUAAUGAUUACUUUAUGUUCAGUAAAUAUUAGCAUAUAUCAUACAGAUUAUAGUUUACUAUUAUCUUGUUUUAAACACUUCCUUUACGUGUCGUUGUAUGCCCCUCUCCUCAGUCCAAGCAAAGAUCAGGAAAAGGGUUAUGUCCAUAGGGACUUCCAACUUUUCCAGCACCAUAUCCGAUUUCCAGAAACCCAGUCACCUGGAGGACUUUGUAGCUCUGAAUGAGGUGCCAAGGCUCUGUAUGUACAACACAGUGAAGCUGUCACACUUGAAAAAAAAAAAACAAAACAUAUUCCCUGGUGCUAAUACCUGAGCUGGCCCUUCCAUUUUCCAGGGGAACAACUAGACCAGUGGGUUACCAGCUGCAUCCCUCUAUUUUUUGGGCAAGGCUGAUGCAACAUAAGCACUAUUGCAGCACGAUCUGCAUUAUCUGGGGCAGCUCCUGGUUUGGGAGCUCCAAACCAAAUGUAUUUAAAAACAGCAUAAAAACUCAACUGUCUAUUAUUGCAUGUUUAUACCAACUAUUUUUAGACUUCACAACCGUGCACUGUGAAAAAAUCUCUAAAAAAAGGUAUUUUCUAUUUUUUUCCAUUUCUAGAAUAGAUGCUAGUUUCACAUUUGCAGGACCACACAAUGGAAAUGUCUACAUCUGUAGGAGAUGAAAAUUGAGUUCUGAAAGAGACCUAUAAUAAGUCGGUGCACUACAGAAAUCAGAAAUGUAAACAAACCAUACAAUACCAUGACAAAAGCCCAAAGCACAGCAUAUGCUUCCUCACACCUGUUAUGAUAAUACCUUCCUCCCACAGGCUAAAAAAGAAACUGCUGUAGAUGCUGAGUCCUGCUGCCAAGGAUUCAGCUGCAGCCUGCCCUGCUGUUUUCACCCACCGAUUUGUCUCCACAUUCAAGUCAGGGAGAGCUAAGGAAGAGGGUAUUUGUUGUGCACUGGGUAGAACUGGCAGCGCUGGGGCAAAGGCACUCAUCAGAGGGCUAUUCUCCUGAAGAUGCACAGGUAUACAUAGGCAUACAUGUGAAAGCUGCCUUAAUGUGGACCCAGUUUGUUUCUCAAGUCUAGAUCCAUACAGAGCUGGGCAAGAAGAGUGUAUAUCAUGUGUUACAGCCAAUUCUGAUCCUCCAAAGCGGGAUGUAUCGAUCUUCCACCAUCUGUCUCAUUCUUUCCUUCUUUCUCUCGCUUACACAAAAAGAAUGGGCAAACUGAAUUUGGUUGACAGAAACCAAGAGGUUCCAAGUUUGUGUUAAUAACUUACCACUUAGAUAGCAAGUGACCAUAACCUAAUCCUCACAACGUGUCUGAGAGGCACAGCAGGAUCCCAUACUAGCACCAGCAAGUAUCUCCAACCCAGCUAGCAGAUCAAAAAGCUCGUUCUUUUUUGUAAGGCUUUGACUGAGCAAACUAAAAGCUUAGUUUUAAAAUGGUGAAAUGCCUUCAGCAGAAUGAAUAAUGUAUUUAAAGUUAAAUGCAUAUUUACUGUUUUAGUGAAUAGGUCCAAAUUUAAAAAGCUCUCUAAAUGCCUAUGCUUAUGUAUAUGAUGGAAAUUAUGACUUUUUAUGAACACAAUUAUGAUUAAAUAAUUAAAAUCCUCUUUCUACCAAAGAUGCUUGACUCUAUUUUUACUUUGCCUAGUCAUUUUUUUUCCAGUUGUGUCUCUUUUU